Molecule: ribosomal RNA, 774 nt
Filed under: uncultured Neocallimastigales
Lineage: Eukaryota; Fungi; Neocallimastigomycota; Neocallimastigomycetes; Neocallimastigales
Description: partial large subunit ribosomal RNA
Rfam family: Eukaryotic large subunit ribosomal RNA
Source: RNAcentral
CGCAUCUGUGCAUGCAGCAUAUCAAUAAGCGGAGGAAAAGAAACUAACAAGGAUUCCCCUAGUAACGGCGAGUGAAGCGGGAAGAGCUCAAAUUUGAAAUCUUAAAGGGUUUCCCUUUACGAAUUGUAGUUUAAAGAAGUGUUUUCUGUUGAGGUUUUGGUAAAAGUUCUUUGGAAUAGGACAUCAUAGAGGGUGAGAAUCCCGUAUUUGACCUUUACUUUCAACUUUGUGAUACACUUUCAAAGAGUCGGAUUGUUUGGGAAUGCAGUCCAAAAUGGGUGGUAAAUUUCAUCUAAAGCUAAAUAUUGGCGAGAGACCGAUAGCGAACAAGUACCGUGAGGGAAAGAUGAAAAGAACUUUGAAAAGAGAGUUAAACAGUACGUGAAAUUGUCAAAAGGGAAGCGUUUGACACCAGUGUUGUUUUUCUGAAAAUCAAUUAAAGAACUGUUUAUGCUAAGCUGUUUAGACUUUAUCAGCUAACUGUUUAGUUUCGAGCUUUUCUUUAAUGCACUUUUCAGUUAACAAGUCAACAUCAAUUUCUUUUGCUGUAAAAAAGCUUGAGGAAGGUGGCUUGAGAUUCGUCUUAAGUGUUUAUAGCCUCUUGCCUAUGCAGUCGGAGAGAUUGAGGUCUGCAGCGUAGAUCCUUCGGGGCUAAAUGCAUUUGUGCUAAGUUAUAACAUUUUAUAGACAACUUGUUGACUAUGAUUUGUCUUGUAGCUUACUCGCUUAUGUUAUAUUACCUACACUUAGGAUGUUGAGCGCAUGUCUCUCUCU